Molecule: ribosomal RNA, 433 nt
Filed under: uncultured bacterium
Lineage: Bacteria
Description: partial 16S ribosomal RNA
Rfam family: Bacterial small subunit ribosomal RNA
Source: RNAcentral
AACGAACGCUGGCGGCAUGCCUAACACAUGCAAGUCGAACGAGACCUUCGGGUCUAGUGGCGCACGGGUGCGUAACGCGUGGGAACCUGCCCUUAGGUUCGGAAUAACUCCCCGAAAGGGGUGCUAAUACCGGAUAAUGUCUUCGGACCAAAGAUUUAUCGCCUUUGGGUGGGCCCGCGUUGGAUUAGCUAGUUGGUAGGGUAAAAGCCUACCAAGGCGACGAUCCAUAGCUGGUCUGAGAGGAUGAUCAGCCACACUGGGACUGAGACACGGCCCAGACUCCUACGGGAGGCAGCAGUGGGGAAUAUUGGACAAUGGGCGAAAGCCUGAUCCAGCAAUGCCGCGUGAGUGAUGAAGGCCCUAGGGUUGUAAAGCUCUUUUACCCGGGAUGAUAAUGACAGUACCGGGAGAAUAAGCUCCGGCUAACUCCGUG